GCUCAGGCAAAGUGGGGAAAGCUGCCUUAGAUCUUCAGUACAGAGAUGCCGGCUCUCACCUGAUACGUUCAGGUUUCGUCAAUUAACCUUUUUGGCCUUCAUUUUCCCCUCUACCUAACCAGCGGGCGGACUACGUGCCUUAGUGUAAGGGUCCAUUCAUGUUAUAUGGUGUCUUAAGACACGCACUCAACUCACUUCAAAUAAAAGCGUGAGUUUGCAGAACCAGAUCUAAUUAUCAAUCUUAGUACAGUUGAAAGACGUGUUUCUGGCAAGUUAGUGCCCAGUGCCUGAAAAGUAUCAUUUCCUAUGUUCAAUAAAAAGGCCCCUUAACUUAAUCAAGGACCUGUGAGAUGACUGUCUCACUUGUGGUAUUGCAAGGAUAUAGAUGCAGGAACAUUUUAAUGUGAUCCUUCUAUAAAAGUGACUCAACGAAAUGAUCUCCAAACAACUUCAAGAAACAGGCCAUCCAGGCCUAUGAUUUUACAGCAAAAUUGGUCAGUGUAUGUAUUUGAGAGAACAAAUUCUGUCAGCUCCCAAAUGACAAACCAGUAGUUGCUUUAUUGGUCUUCAGACGUGGCUGCUCUCAUCAGCAUCAAACAAUUGAGAAUGAACCAGGCUUAAAACAUGGUACUUGGCAAUCGGGUUGCCAGCUAAGCAGCAGAUGCGAGACUUGCCCUCCAGGAGCUUAGCAUUAGAAUGGAGAAGAGAAAUAAAUGCAUAAUAUGUAGGUGACAUAAAUCCAUACCAGUACACAUUUAAGAACAAAUGGCAAAUCCAAGGGUAAGAGGCCGUACAUGUUCAAUAUGAUGAGUAAUUUAGACAAUCCUAUAGGAGCCGAAAUGCUACAGAUGUCCCUGGCUGCUGGGAAACGAGGGAGAACUUGUCCAUGGAUGUGGGGGUUUGUGUCCGUCUCUGAAUAAAGAGCAGAAUGCUUGCUAUCCUACUGGCCAGUUAUCUACCCAUUGUCUGAAAA
Long non-coding RNA from Cebus imitator (Panamanian white-faced capuchin), 973 nucleotides. RefSeq lists it as uncharacterized. NCBI's taxonomy places the organism in Eukaryota, Metazoa, Chordata, Mammalia, Primates, Cebidae. The transcript has 2 exons. The record is from RefSeq and is a predicted model, not a curated record.